RNAcentral lists this non-coding RNA (32 nucleotides) under Rattus norvegicus (Norway rat). The record is from RNAcentral. Lineage: Eukaryota; Metazoa; Chordata; Mammalia; Rodentia; Muridae.
UGUCCGAUGAGCAAACCUAUUGUACAUAUGGU